AUGGCUGAAAAAUGUUGUGCACAAUGAAAGACUAAGUGACUUGUGUAGUUUAGACAAAGCCCUUAUAGCCCACAAAUAGUAGCACUAUAUUCCUAUUUAGUCUCCAAUAAUGGUCGUGCUUAUUUUUAAUUGGAAAUCAAUAAUUUUGAAAAUAAAAAAAGAACGGUGAAGGACCAUAUUAUAUCAGUUUUGGUGUAAACACAAAAUUGUAGUGGACAACUUAUCAUUUAGCAACUUUAAUCUUUAUUUACAUUUUCAUUAUAGAACACAAAGAGUC
RNAcentral lists this long non-coding RNA (277 nucleotides) under Trifolium pratense (red clover). RNAcentral's name for it is "long non-coding RNA (TPRA_LNC011314)". Lineage: Eukaryota; Viridiplantae; Streptophyta; Magnoliopsida; Fabales; Fabaceae. The record is from RNAcentral.